CUCCUAGUAUAGUCCCCUCACCUUGAUUCUAAAAGGCUUGUGACUGCCUUUUACCAGUAAGAUAUGGCGGAAGUACACUGUGCCAAUUCCAGACCAACGCCUUGAGAAGCCAGGCAGGUUUCGCAGUCUGAGGAACGAAACCUGUUCUUCCUGUGCUGCCGUGUAGAGUUUCAGCUACCCUGCUGUAAAAAGCCCCUUGGAGAGGCCACAUGGUAAAGGGAGAAGCCCUGAGGUUACUUGGACAGGGAGAGCAAAACCCAGAUGUCCCUGCAUCCCAGCUGAGACCAUCCUCCAGGAAAAACACUGGCCCAAUACAGCCGCACAAAAAAUCAUCAGCAAGACCAGCGGAAGAACCGCCCAGACAAUCCUAGCCAAGAAUGUGGAACGGAUGGCUAUUCAUCCCAAUUUGCCUGGGAAUGAAGGCGUUUCCAGGACACAGGACUUACAGUGCUAAAACCAGGAAAGUCCUGGGGAAACUGCGAGUUGGUCACCUUCUUUCCAACAUCUCAACUAAACAGGAGUUUACUUCAGAGCAAAAUGCAAUCUUAUUCACACAGUUUGGGAGCUUACGGAAGGGGAAGCUAGAGAAGAGAUCUGGUCAUCUGUUAAUUCCUUAUUCUUCAUUUCUACUUCUUUGAUCUAUGGAAAGCACCAACACGUUAGGCAAGGUAUUGUGUGAUCAAAAGAUUUGAAAGGUGUGCUUGGUCCAGAGGUGAGUAGAACAUGGGGGAUGCCUGGUUUAACGUUAGUGUCAAGACAAAAGGGGCCUCCUGCAGGGAACUCUUUCCUGCAAAGAGCUCUUUCCUCCCAAAAGCUGCUUACAAAAUGUUAAAUUAUAUUUAAUGAUUAUUCAGGUAAAGUUCAGAAAAAGCAUCACAACUCCAACCCCAGGUAUUCAUCUGAACAGGGCAGAAUUCCUGAAUUAAUUGUAAUUUCCAAUUCACCUUCCUUCCUUCUAAAUUGCACUUCAAAUUGCUUGAUAAAACAGAAGUAUAAUUAUGACAGGUUUUCAUAAUUUGGAAUAGGCCCAGAAUUACUACUGUAUUAUCACAAAACUCAUUUUCCAGAUGUUUUAAUGGUACAGAAGCUUAUCCUUGCCUAUAUUUAUAUCUUGUAAGUCCAAUUUAGACCCUUAGGAAGGUAGAUUUCUAGAUCCAUUGUUUAAUGUGUCUAGCUCUUUGCUGACACUCACAAGAGUUAAAAUUUAUGCUGUAUAUUCUAAUUAGCUACAUCUUCUUUAUGUCAUUGUACAGAUAAUUAAGGAGCCAUUCCAUUUAUACAUUUGGUUGAACCUAACUGGACUUUUGGUCCCAACCAAAUUAUGACUAGUACUUACACUUACCUCUUUGUUUAAAGACUCAGACAAAAUUUUAUUUUGUCUCACAAAUGUUAAAAUAGCAGUGAUAGGAGGAUGUGCUGUAAAAUAUAUUUUUUGGACUGAUUAUCUUAUGCAUUUCAGGUGAAAACUUUCUUCAAAUUAUGCCAACUAUUUACAUUUCAGUCCCACAUAUAUUUUUAUUCAAUUUCGCCUGCAUAACUACCCUUUUCUUUUCCCAAUUUAACCAAGUCUAAAAAUACAAACUUCUAACUCUAUUAAUAAUGUAUCACUAAUGUAUCCCACAAUACUGCAUAGGAGGCAAGAGCUUUGUUUUAAUACCUGAGCCAUUGGCCACUAAGGAAAACAAUAACAAUGUAUUCAGUUGCCUAAUAACUUUAAAGUACUUCAACACCGUGUUUGAUGUGUUUGUGCAGAACAAUGCAAAACAACUUCUAUGCCUCAAAACAAAAUGCUUGAACAUCACUUAAUAGCUUACAAGGCAACUGAGAGAUCAGGGAGCAAAACAAAAUAGAAAUUCUAAUUAACCACAACUCUUUCUGAAGAAAGGGACAAGUCCCUGCAAAUAUUUUAAGCUAUUUUCUAUCCACAAAUAAGCUAUAAAAAUUCCAUGUACAGUGUGGGAAACAGCACAUUUGUCUGGGCUACUGAGAGCACCCUCUUACUUGCUUAUAUAUCUAGACUAUUUUAUUGGGAAGUUUUCCAGCUUGGACAAACCCCAGCUUUGUAAUAGUGAUCUACUUGAAAACCUUUUAACAAAUGCUUAAUUUUAGCAUAUGUUGGCCCGAGAUUUUUUUUGGUUCAAGGAACUUAUUUUUUUGAUUAAAUAUGUCCAUAUUUAUAUUUUACAUAAAUGUAGCUAUUCACAUGUGCCUACCUUUGGCUGCAUGGCUGCUCCCCCACCUUCACCCCAUCUUUUGCCACCCCUACACACCUCUCUCCAAACUGCUCCUGGCACUGUGGCUGCCGCUGACAUAGUAGAGGUAUAUUACCUUGGACCAUAAGAUUCCCCACGACAGUGUUCCUCCACUCCAAGCCUGCACUUCAACCAAAGCCCCUGGCUAAUGAAGCCAACCCAGGUUCCUGGUACGAUUUUAUGUACAAGAAGUCUGGACUAAGCACUGUGUCCUCCCAAACAUCUGCCUACUUCCCUGCAGUAUAGCCUUUUUCCUCUCCAGAGACCACACAACCUUCUACCUGUUCUUGUUACCUACUCCAGGUUCAUACUUCUCACUGUAUGACAGGCCAAUAAAUCAAGACACGAGUCAUUGGGCAAGGAAUAGAGACUUUAUUUGGAAAGCCAGCAGACUGAGGUGUCGGACUAGUGUCCCAAAGAACCAUCUUGCGCAGGUUUGGAUGCUAGUUUCUUUUAUAGAACAAAGAGGGGUAGGUGAGGGGGUAAAGUGAAAAAGACAAUAAGUUGUUGCAAAUAUUUCCUGGUUCCGGCCAGACUCCAGAGGGGAUGUGUUAAUUACUUCUUUCGUGAAGCCAUUUACAGGUGUGCCCAGUCAGGAUGUUUCCUGUGAGUUAAACAAAGGCAUUUUAGCUUAACGCUGAGGUAGGGGAGGCAGGGUUCCCGGGGAUGGGCCAUUAUGUGUACUUUCCCUUUAGUAAUAAACUUCUAGCAAAAGCAAUAGAAUACAAACUUCAAAGUAAAAGAAGUAGAUCCAAUAUGGAGUCAGAUUUGUUCCUCCCUAUUAUAUUCUCACAUCUAAAAUUACCUCACUCUCUUCACCUCUCUUCUCUAAGACCCCCAACAGGCUGCUGCCUAGAGCCACCUCCAAGGAAUCAAGCAAGUUGUGUGGUGAUGGUGGUAAUAUUUCCUAUUAGUGUUGCUUUCUGUGUUUCUGCUGUAGUUCAGCAUUAUUGGGCUGAGAGAGGCUUUGGUAAGCUCGUCUAGGACAGCAUCUGUCAUGGAUUGAAUUGUGUCCCUGUGAUAUUGUGAUUUAUAAUAAGAAAUAUUAUGCUUGGUGUUUGUCCCUGUUCUUGCACAAAGCUCCCCAAGCCCUUGAAAUUUCCCAAGUGAUUAGAGCAAUACAAGUAUUUUUUGUUAUUCUUAAGAAAGCCCCUUUUGGGCUUCCCUGGUGGCACAGUGGUUAAGAAUCCGCCUGCCAAUGCUGGGGACACGGGUUCAAGCCCUGGUCCGGGAAGAGCCCACAUGCCGCAGAGCAACUAAGCCCGUGCACCACAACUACUAAGCCUGCGCGCUAAAGCCCGUGAACCACAACUACUGAACCCACAUGCCACAACUACUGAAGCCCAUGCAGCUAGAGUCCAUGCUCCACAACAAGGGAAGCCGCCACAAUAAGAAGCCCGUGCACCGCAACGAAGAGUAGCGCCCACUCGCCGCAACUAAAGGAAGUCCGUGCGCAGCAACGAAGACCCAGCGCAGCCAAAAAUAAAUAAAUUUAUUUAAAAAAAAGAAAAAAAGCCCCUUUCAAUCACACCUGAGUGUAUGUUAAUGAGGGAACUCUUAGAAAGGUCCUAACGAUGGGGGCUUGUUGCCAGGAGAACCAACCUGGUGAUUAGAGGGUUGGAACUUUCAGCCCCACCCUCAUUGCAUCCCCCUACCCCCCUACCUUCUCCCACCCCCC
Long non-coding RNA from Orcinus orca (killer whale), 3930 nucleotides. RefSeq lists it as uncharacterized. Lineage: Eukaryota; Metazoa; Chordata; Mammalia; Artiodactyla; Delphinidae. The transcript has 3 exons. The record is from RefSeq and is a predicted model, not a curated record.